UGUUGUUUUCUCGAAAAUCAAUUAAAAAAGGCAGGAUUUUGUGUUGUAUUGACUUUAUCAGCUUUCUGCACUCUUUUCUUGUCUUUUUUAAUGCACUUUUCGUUUAACAGGUCAACAUCAAUUUCUUUUGUUGUAAAAGGGUCAUUGGAAGGUGGCUUUCUUUUCGGAGAAAGUGUUUAUAGCCUUUGGCCUCUGCAAUCGGAGAGAUUGAGGUCUGCAGCGUAGAUCCUUCGGGGUUAGAUACAUUUGUGCUAAGUUAUAGCCUUUCAUAGACAACUUGUUGACUAUGAUCAGUCAUGUAGCUUACUCGCUUAUGCUAUUUUACCUAC
This 329-nucleotide ribosomal RNA is filed under the name Neocallimastigales sp. RNAcentral's name for it is "partial large subunit ribosomal RNA". The record is from RNAcentral. Lineage: Eukaryota; Fungi; Neocallimastigomycota; Neocallimastigomycetes; Neocallimastigales.